AUGUCUUUCUUCUGGACAUACUGGAAUUAUACUAUAUGAUCUAUAUGUAGAAAGAACACUGGCUCUGGACUCAGAAGAACCAAGUUUAAAUACUGGCUGCUGGGUCUGAAGUAAGGAAGACCUGAGAAGGGAUCAAAUCUGCCAUCCAACAUUUACUAGCUGGGUAAAUCUAGAUGUAUCCAUAUGUGUCCCAACAUCUCUCAUCUUUCCCUCAUCACAGAAGGCAUCAUCCAGGAGACAAACAUGUUCAUACAAAUUGUAUCUUUCGUGUUUCCACCUCUUUGUUCCCUCUCUGGAGAUCAUGUACCAGCACCGUAUGGAAAGUCAUACUCACAGGAUUUUAAAAAGGAAAAUUCUUUACAAGCUAUGAAAGGCUAUAUAAAUAAAUAUCAUUAGUAACCUUCAUUAAAUUCCUCCUUCAAAGUCUCUUUCUAGGGUCAAAUUGAUCCUGAAUUCUAGAAGGUGACAUCAGUGAGGCCCAUGUUUUUUAGUUUUUUAAAAAAAGUUAGAAACUUUUGAUUAUAGGCCCAGAAAAUGACUCUGUUAUUGUUACAGAGGAAAUAACCUAUUUACCCUUAAAUAGUCC
This 586-nucleotide long non-coding RNA is filed under the name Monodelphis domestica (gray short-tailed opossum). RNAcentral describes it as "lncRNA (ENSMODG00000050496.1)". The record is from RNAcentral. Lineage: Eukaryota; Metazoa; Chordata; Mammalia; Didelphimorphia; Didelphidae.